AACGUAGGACGCAAGCGUUAUCCGGAAUUACUGGGCGUAAAGAGCGCGUAGGCGGGUCAACAAGUCAUGCGUGAAAGCUCCCGGCUAAACUGGGAGAGGUCGGAUGAUACUGUUGGUCUUGAGUGUGGCAGAGGCGUGUGGAAUUCCGCGUGUAGUGGUGAAAUGCGUAGAUGUGCGGAGGAACACCAGUGGCGAAGGCGGCACGCUGGGCCACAACUGACGCUGAGGCGCGAAAGCAUGGGUAGCGAAC
RNAcentral lists this ribosomal RNA (250 nucleotides) under uncultured Anaerolineaceae bacterium. Its description in RNAcentral is "partial 16S ribosomal RNA". It matches the Rfam family "Bacterial small subunit ribosomal RNA", at positions 524 to 773 of the family's 1533-position model. Lineage: Bacteria; Bacillati; Chloroflexota; Anaerolineae; Anaerolineales; Anaerolineaceae. The record is from RNAcentral.